This 305-nucleotide ribosomal RNA is filed under the name uncultured bacterium. Its description in RNAcentral is "bacterial SSU rRNA". It matches the Rfam family "Bacterial small subunit ribosomal RNA", at positions 334 to 655 of the family's 1533-position model. The record is from RNAcentral.
UCUUCCUACGGGGCGCAGCAGUGGGGAAUAUUGCACAAUGGGGGGAGCCCUGAUGCAGCGACGCCGCGUGAGUGAAGAAGUAUUUCGGUAUGUAAAGCUCUGUCAGCAGGGAAGAAGAAAGACGGUACCUGACCAAGAAGCCCUGGCUAACUACGUGCCAGCAGCCGCGGUAAUACGUAGGGGGCAAGCGUUAUCCGGAUUUACUGGGUGUAAAGGGAGCGUAGACGGCAGAGCAAGUCUGGAGUGAAAGGCAGGGGCCCAACCCCUGGACGGCUCUGGAAACGGUCCGGCUGGAGGGCAGGAGG